This 693-nucleotide ribosomal RNA is filed under the name uncultured bacterium. Its description in RNAcentral is "bacterial SSU rRNA". It matches the Rfam family "Bacterial small subunit ribosomal RNA", at positions 94 to 801 of the family's 1533-position model. The record is from RNAcentral.
AGUGGCGGACGGGUGAGUAACGCGUGAACAAUCUGCCCUAUACACAGGAAUAGCCUCGGGAAACUGGGAUUAAAACCGGAUAACACUUUUUAGCCGCAUGGCUGAGAAGUCAAAUUGAUUUAGAGGUAUAGGAUGAGUUCGCGUCUGAUUAGCUAGUUGGUGAGGUAAUGGCUCACCAAGGCGACGAUCAGUAGCCGGCCUGAGAGGGUGAACGGCCACACUGGAACUGAGACACGGUCCAGACUCCUACGGGAGGCAGCAGUGGGGAAUAUUGCACAAUGGAGGAAACUCUGAUGCAGCGACGCCGCGUGAGUGAAGAAGGUCUUCGGAUCGUAAAACUCUGUCCUUGGUGAAGAAUAAAAUGACGGUAGCCAAGGAGGAAGCCCCGGCUAACUACGUGCCAGCAGCCGCGGUAAUACGUAGGGGGCGAGCGUUGUCCGGAUUUACUGGGCGUAAAGGGUGAGUAGGCGGUAAUAUGUGUCAGAUGUAAAAGGCUAUGGCUUAACCAUAGUUGGCAUUUGAAACUGUAUUACUUGAGUGCAGGAGAGGUAAGUGGAAUUCCUAGUGUAGCGGUGAAAUGCGUAGAUAUUAGGAGGAACACCAGUGGCGAAGGCGACUUACUGGACUGUAACUGACGCUGAGUCACGAAAGCGUGGGUAGCAAACAGGAUUAGAUACCCUGGUAGUCCACGCU